GACGAAUUCCUGGCUGUGGUCGAUAGCGACCUGCAGCAUCUCGCGCUCGGGACUCCACCAGAAGCCGUUGUAG
RNAcentral lists this transfer RNA (73 nucleotides) under uncultured Verrucomicrobiales bacterium HF0070_30L02. RNAcentral describes it as "tRNA-Ala". The record is from RNAcentral. Lineage: Bacteria; Pseudomonadati; Verrucomicrobiota; Verrucomicrobiia; Verrucomicrobiales.